AAUAUUGCACAAUGGGGGAAACCCUGAUGCAGCGACGCCGCGUGGAGGAAGAAGGUCUUCGGAUUGUAAACUCCUGUUGUUGAGGAAGAUAAUGACGGUACUCAACAAGGAAGUGACGGCUAACUACGUGCCAGCAGCCGCGGUAAAACGUAGGUCACAAGCGUUGUCCGGAAUUACUGGGUGUAAAGGGAGCGCAGGCGG
RNAcentral lists this ribosomal RNA (201 nucleotides) under Dickeya dadantii. RNAcentral's name for it is "partial 16S ribosomal RNA". It matches the Rfam family "Bacterial small subunit ribosomal RNA", at positions 360 to 578 of the family's 1533-position model. Lineage: Bacteria; Pseudomonadati; Pseudomonadota; Gammaproteobacteria; Enterobacterales; Pectobacteriaceae. The record is from RNAcentral.